AUGGUGUAUCGAGAGCUUCAAGCUUCGAUAUUUUGGUAGUUUCUGUUCUUUCUACCGUAACAGGUAGAAGCAGCUCAUGGGAUAUUUUAUAUUCCAGGGAGCCUGCAUCUCUUAACUAAUUUUUCGUUCUCUUUUCCCUCGACCUCGAGUCUCACUGUUGUCCACGCGAGCGUCGUUGUUACAGGGUGCCAGUCCAGCACUGUUCGCGAAAUCGCCUACAGAUCGCAAACCCGGUGUCCGCUGCGGUUUCCUCGGGUUUUCGUUUUCGUCCGGGGUGACGGGUUUCACGGUUAGCCACAGUCAAAGUCCCGGGUGCGGUGGCAGUUGCUAUUCGCAACGAUGGCUUCUCGGAAGAGUCGACCGCUCCCGGCACACGGACUCGAAGUCGGACGUGCGCUGCUUCUAAACCUGCGCGCGACUUGACAAGGCCUCAGUUCUGUCUCCUUCCAAGUUAAGCGUCCUGAGCACUAGUCCAAGAAACUUGUCCGCUAGACUAGGGUACAAGCUGCUCAUCGCGACUGGGCGAAGCAGACACCUCUGAAGGUGUCCGAGUGCUUCGCGUUUGACGCACACGUUUCCGACGGUCACCUGGCCUGCGCAGCUGUUCAAAUGUAGUAGAAGGCCUAGAGAGCAUCGCGCUGGAGAAGCCGCAGUGUGGAACCGUGCCCGGGAGCAGGCUUCCUGGCUAUCGCUGGCAGUCCAGCGUCGUUCGCGUCGGGUACGGCGCCUCAGUACUUUAAGAGCGGGCUAUUCGCAUCAAUAAGCUUCCGCCCAGGAGGCAGUUUUGCUCGUCACCAUCACUCUAAGCGGAAAAGUUUGAUCAGUGUUCUUCAAUGCCGGCAUAAGAAAAGCCUUCGCUUGACGCCUGUCCAAUGGUUUGCUGGCGGGGGCCACGGCACGAGCGCUCCUCAAUAGCAUGGACUUGCUGCCUUCGUUUCUUUCUACGAAUUAGUUUUCAUGAACCGAAACGGAUUUCCCCGGAAACGCGACGGCUGCUGGUGAAUAGCGGCGCCGCCCCCCCCCCCCCCAGUUAUCUGGAUGCAGCUCUAUGGUUGCACCAGACUCUGACUGUUGGCUCCUGAGCCUCAGAGACGUGAUUCAUGAACACAGCAGCUGUCAGGGUACCGCGCUCGUUGCGCCUCUAUAGUUGCCAUGCGGAGACGUAGCGGCUUUUCGUAUUCAUUGUGGGCGUGAGCCCGAUGCAAUCAAUAGCGGAGUUCCCUGCAACACGCUCACGGACUGCAUCAAUACUCGCAAAGACCAACUUGAAGAUGAGGAUCAUGAACGCUUUCAAAUCGUUUCUAGGUCGAUCACGAGGUGCUGUUGACGAUACAUCAGGCUCGCAGGAACGCCUGGGUGUACCGGAAUGUCGCGGGCUCCGAUGCUUCUGCGAGUCAAAGCGGACGCGGUGCACCUCUGACACCGCUCACUGCUUGUCCGCGUGACGUACCGUUGGCGACUCGUGUGCUAUGUAUUUCAAGUCGUUCACAGGUUUGCGGGUAUGCGCGUGUGCAGACGGCGGAUCCUCAAGCAUGCGGCACCGCUUGAGCUCCCGUCCAAAGACUUAAACUACAUCAAG
Molecule: RNA transcript, 1579 nt
Organism: Cyanidioschyzon merolae strain 10D
Lineage: Eukaryota; Rhodophyta; Bangiophyceae; Cyanidiales; Cyanidiaceae
Exons: 1
Source: RefSeq, a predicted model, not a curated record